CGUACACUCCUACGGGAGGCAGCAGUGAGGAAUAUUGGACAAUGGGUGGAAGCCUGAUCCAGCCAUCCCGCGUGCAGGAAGACGGCCCUAUGGGUUGUAAACUGCUUUUAUCUGGGGAUAAACCUACUUACGUGUAAGUAGCUGAAGGUACCAGAAGAAUAAGCACCGGCUAACUCCGUGCCAGCAGCCGCGGUAAUACGGAGGGUGCAAGCGUUAUCCGGAUUUAUUGGGUUUAAAGGGUCCGUAGGCGGACUGAUAAGUCAGUGGUGAAAUCCGACAGCUUAACUGUCGAACUGCCAUUGAUACUGUUAGUCUUGAGUAAGGUUGAAGUGGCUGGAAUAAGUAGUGUAGCGGUGAAAUGCAUAGAUAUUACUUAGAACACCAAUUGCGAAGGCAGGUCACUAAGUCUUAACUGACGCUGAUGGACGAAAGCGUGGGGAGCGAACAGGAUUAGAAACCCGGGUAGUCCC
RNAcentral lists this ribosomal RNA (470 nucleotides) under uncultured organism. RNAcentral's name for it is "partial 16S ribosomal RNA". It matches the Rfam family "Bacterial small subunit ribosomal RNA", at positions 330 to 797 of the family's 1533-position model. The record is from RNAcentral.